ACCUGGUUGGCUUAAUCUUUAGAGCACUGACUCUUGAUCUCAGAGUCAUGAGUUCAAGUCCCAUACUGGGUG
RNAcentral lists this transfer RNA (72 nucleotides) under Ailuropoda melanoleuca (giant panda). It matches the Rfam family "tRNA". From Rfam's summary of the family: Transfer RNA (tRNA) molecules are approximately 80 nucleotides in length. Their secondary structure includes four short double-helical elements and three loops (D, anti-codon, and T loops). Further hydrogen bonds mediate the characteristic L-shaped molecular structure. tRNAs have two regions of fundamental functional importance: the anti-codon, which is responsible for specific mRNA codon recognition, and the 3' end, to which the tRNAs corresponding amino acid is attached (by aminoacyl-tRNA synthetases). tRNAs cope with the degeneracy of the genetic code in two manners: having more than one tRNA (with a specific anti-codon) for a particular amino acid; and 'wobble' base-pairing, i.e. permitting non-standard base-pairing at the 3rd anti-codon position. Lineage: Eukaryota; Metazoa; Chordata; Mammalia; Carnivora; Ursidae. The record is from Rfam by way of RNAcentral.